Gavialis gangeticus (Gharial) is the source of this 119-nucleotide long non-coding RNA. RefSeq lists it as uncharacterized. The record is from RefSeq and is a predicted model, not a curated record. NCBI's taxonomy places the organism in Eukaryota, Metazoa, Chordata, Crocodylia, Gavialidae. The transcript is spliced from 3 exons.
UGCCAAUAUUUGGAGUCCAUUGCCAAUCAAAGCAGGGCUCUACAUGCUAGUGUAUCACUUCCACCAGAGCCAGUGCUUACAAGGUGGAAUUUGUGGUUUAACAUAGUUCAUUACCAUGC